Molecule: ribosomal RNA, 254 nt
Filed under: uncultured bacterium
Lineage: Bacteria
Description: partial 16S ribosomal RNA
Rfam family: Bacterial small subunit ribosomal RNA
Source: RNAcentral
UACGAAGGGGGCUAGCGUUGUUCGGAAUUACUGGGCGUAAAGCGCACGUAGGCGGAUUGUUAAGUUAGGGGUGAAAGUCCCGGAGCUCAACUCCGGAACUGCCUUUCAUACUGGCAAUCUAGAGUCCGGAAGAGGUGAGUGGAACUCCUAGUGUAGAGGUGGAAUUCGUAGAUAUCAGGAGGAACACCUGUGGCGAAAGCGGCUCACUGGACCAUAACUGACGCUGAUGCACGAAAGCUAGGGGAGCAAACAGG